UAUUCGAAGUAGUUUAUUAGAAAGCAAAUAACCUUCCAUAAAACGUAAGAAGUUGCAGCUUGUUUGCGACAAAUCGAAACAAUCAAUAGCAAAUGAGUGCUCUUAAGUAUUCGUCUAUCAUUUACACAAUGUGUUAUGUGUGUACAGUGUAUUGGCUAUUGGGAUAUUUUAUUUUCCUUGAAUGAAGUAAAUUAGACCAAUUAUUAUGUGUAAGUAGGUUAC
This is a long non-coding RNA of Aricia agestis (brown argus), 222 nucleotides long. RefSeq lists it as uncharacterized. The record is from RefSeq and is a predicted model, not a curated record. Lineage: Eukaryota; Metazoa; Arthropoda; Insecta; Lepidoptera; Lycaenidae. The transcript is spliced from 3 exons.